AUAAGCGGAGGAAAGAACUAACAAGGAUUCCCUUAGUAACUGCGAGUGAAGCGGGAAAAGCUCAAAUUUGAAAUCUGGCAGUCUUUUUUUCUCUUCUUUGGCUGUCUGAGUUGUAAUCUAGAGAAGUGCUUACCUGUGCUGGACCAUGUAUAAGUCUCCUGGAAUGGAGCGUCACAGAGGGUGAGAAUCCCGUCUUUGACAUGGACUGCCAGUAUGUUGUGGKGUGCUCUCAAAGAGUCGAGUUGUUUGGGAAUGCAGCUCUAAAUGGGUGGUAAACUCCAUCUAAAGCUAAAUAUUGGCGAGAGACCGAUAGCGAACAAGUACCGUGAGGGAAAGAUGAAAAGGACUUUGGAAAGAGAGUUAAACAGUAUGUGAAAUUGUUGAAAGGGAAACGCUUGAAGUCAGUUAUGUUGGCUGGGGAUCAGCCUGGCUUUUUGCUGGGUGAACUUCCUAGUCUGACAGGCCAACAUCAGUUCUGACUGCUGGAAAAGAGCA
RNAcentral lists this ribosomal RNA (495 nucleotides) under Amanita arenicola. RNAcentral describes it as "eukaryotic LSU rRNA". It matches the Rfam family "Eukaryotic large subunit ribosomal RNA", at positions 46 to 521 of the family's 3401-position model. Lineage: Eukaryota; Fungi; Basidiomycota; Agaricomycetes; Agaricales; Amanitaceae. The record is from RNAcentral.